GUGAAUCAUCAAAUCUUUGAACGCAAAUUGCGCCUUUUUCGGAAGGCAUGUCUGUUUGAGGGCACCAUUUAGCAAAUAAUGUGCAGCGUUUUUUGUUACACACGUUGAUGAGCUUUCCAAAUUUAUGUAUUAUUUUUGGUGGCGCAUAAUAAACAGCGCGAUGCUUUUUUUCAGUUCGAGUGUAGUAAAAUUUUUUCUUGCUUGGGUUGUGAAAAGCGUGAUCGCGCAAUGGGUGUGGCAAUUUUUUAUUAUCCCUGCCCCAAUGCCACUCUUUCUCACGAAAGAAUGUCUAAUCUUCAGG
RNAcentral lists this unclassified non-coding RNA (301 nucleotides) under Paraglomerales sp. Its description in RNAcentral is "partial contains 5.8S ribosomal RNA and internal transcribed spacer 2". The stretch from base 1 to 65 matches the Rfam family "5.8S ribosomal RNA", at positions 84 to 154 of the family's 154-position model. The record is from RNAcentral. Lineage: Eukaryota; Fungi; Glomeromycota; Glomeromycetes; Paraglomerales.